RNAcentral lists this ribosomal RNA (253 nucleotides) under uncultured bacterium. Its description in RNAcentral is "partial 16S ribosomal RNA". It matches the Rfam family "Bacterial small subunit ribosomal RNA", at positions 524 to 776 of the family's 1533-position model. The record is from RNAcentral.
UACAGAGGAUGCAAGCGUUAUCCGGAAUGAUUGGGCGUAAAGCGUCUGUAGGUGGCUUUUUAAGUCCGCCGUCAAAUCCCAGGGCUCAACUCUGGACAGGCGGUGGAAACUACCAAGCUUGAGUACGGUAGGGGCAGAGGGAAUUUCCGGUGGAGCGGUGAAAUGCGUAGAGAUCGGAAAGAACACCAACGGCGAAGGCAGCUCGCUGGGACGUGACUGACGCUGAGACGCGAAAGCGUGGGGAGCAAACAGG